UUUGAGGAAGGCGUGGGUGUUAUUGGGUCCAUGUGUAUGUGCAUGGUGAUGGACUGGAAAUCGAAAGAUGAAUCACUCAGAUCUGGAUUUCUUGAGUUGUGAUGGAGUUUGGCAAAGGAUACGAUGAUGAAGAAGCGAAAGAGGAUAAAAAUUUCAUUCAAUAUUAUGGCCUGUGUAUACUAUGCCUAUCAAAUCAAUGAUAUACCAAAGCAUCUUUCAUUGGAAGAAAUGAAACAAUAUGUGAAAGGACAUUAUCAAGCAAGUCGUUCAAGCUUCUACGCCUGCCUUUAAUGCCUUUCUUACUAGGUAAGAAUUUAAUUUUGAGCACUAAGAAGGAGUACUUGCCACUUCUUCUCAUGCAAUUGCUACAAGAACACUAUUUUUGUGUUUUACAAGCCCAGGUUUUGCUUUUAACAUCAUCAAUUUAUUGUUUAUUUGCUUUUAUAGGGAUACAUGUUAGUGUAACUUAUAACAGGAGCAAUC
This is a long non-coding RNA of Prosopis cineraria, 483 nucleotides long. RefSeq lists it as uncharacterized. The record is from RefSeq and is a predicted model, not a curated record. NCBI's taxonomy places the organism in Eukaryota, Viridiplantae, Streptophyta, Magnoliopsida, Fabales, Fabaceae. The transcript has 3 exons.